Molecule: ribosomal RNA, 253 nt
Filed under: uncultured bacterium
Lineage: Bacteria
Description: partial 16S ribosomal RNA
Rfam family: Bacterial small subunit ribosomal RNA
Source: RNAcentral
UACGAAGGGGGCUAGCGUUGUUCGGAAUUACUGGGCGUAAAGCGCGCGCAGGCGGUCUUCCAAGUCAGUGGUGAAAGCCCGGAGCUCAACUCCGGAACUGCCAUUGAAACUGUUAGACUUGAGGAUGAGAGAGGUGAGUGGAAUUCCCAGUGUAGAGGUGAAAUUCGUAGAUAUUGGGAAGAACACCAGUGGCGAAGGCGGCUCACUGGCUCAUUACUGACGCUCAGGCGCGAUAGCGUGGGGAUCAAACAGG